This 73-nucleotide transfer RNA is filed under the name Chelonia mydas (Green sea turtle). It matches the Rfam family "tRNA". Rfam says of the family: Transfer RNA (tRNA) molecules are approximately 80 nucleotides in length. The record is from Rfam by way of RNAcentral. Lineage: Eukaryota; Metazoa; Chordata; Testudines; Cheloniidae.
CAUAGGAUGGUUUGGUGGGUUAAAGCACUGGACUUGGAUUUCGGAGAACUGGGUUCAUUUCCCAGCCUUACUA